GAUGAACGCUGGCGGCGUGCCUAAUACAUGCAAGUCGAGCGAACAGACGAGGAGCUUGCUCCUUUGACGUUAGCGGCGGACGGGUGAGUAACACGUGGGUAACCUACCUAUAAGACUGGGAUAACUUCGGGAAACCGGAGCUAAUACCGGAUAAUAUUUCGAACCGCAUGGUUCGAUAGUGAAAGAUGGAUCUGCUAUCACUUAUAGAUGGACCUGCGCCGUAUUAGCUAGUUGGUAAGGUAACGGCUUACCAAGGCAACGAUACGUAGCCGACCUGAGAGGGUGAUCGGCCAAACUGGAACUGGGACACGGUCCAGAGUCCUACGGGAGACAGCAGUAGGGAAUCUUCCGCAAUGGGCGAAAGCCUGACGGAGCAACGCCGCGUGAGUGAUGAAGGUCUUCGGAUCGUAAAACUCUGUUAUUAGGGAAGAACAAACGUGUAAGUGACUGUGCACGUCUUGACGGUACCUAAUCAGAAAGCCACGGCUAACUACGUGCCAGCCGCCGCCGUAA
RNAcentral lists this ribosomal RNA (513 nucleotides) under uncultured bacterium. RNAcentral's name for it is "partial 16S ribosomal RNA". It matches the Rfam family "Bacterial small subunit ribosomal RNA", at positions 28 to 523 of the family's 1533-position model. The record is from RNAcentral.